Molecule: non-coding RNA, 28 nt
Filed under: Bombyx mori (domestic silkworm)
Lineage: Eukaryota; Metazoa; Arthropoda; Insecta; Lepidoptera; Bombycidae
Source: RNAcentral
UACUAGAUGAAACAAACAGCAGAUUGAA